RNAcentral lists this ribosomal RNA (185 nucleotides) under uncultured bacterium. Its description in RNAcentral is "partial 16S ribosomal RNA". It matches the Rfam family "Bacterial small subunit ribosomal RNA", at positions 590 to 775 of the family's 1533-position model. The record is from RNAcentral.
ACAUGUAUAAGGCCAAGGCUCAACCUUGGAUCGCAUGGGAAACUGCUUGGCUUGAGUGCAGGAGAGGAAAGUGGAAUUCCACGUGUAGCGGUGAAAUGCGUAGAGAUGUGGAGGAACACCAGUGGCGAAGGCGACUUUCUGGCCUGUAACUGACGCUGAGGCGCGAAAGCGUGGGGAGCAAACAG